Rhinolophus ferrumequinum (greater horseshoe bat) is the source of this 111-nucleotide small nuclear RNA. Lineage: Eukaryota; Metazoa; Chordata; Mammalia; Chiroptera; Rhinolophidae. The record is from Ensembl.
GUGCUCACUUUUGGCAGCACAUAUACUAAAAAAAUUGGAACGAUUCAGAGAAGAUCAGCAUGGUCCCUGUGCAAGGAUGACACGCAAAUUCUUGAAGUGUUCCAUAAAGAA